This 1098-nucleotide long non-coding RNA is filed under the name Callithrix jacchus (white-tufted-ear marmoset). Its description in RNAcentral is "lncRNA (ENSCJAG00000072679.1)". Lineage: Eukaryota; Metazoa; Chordata; Mammalia; Primates; Cebidae. The record is from RNAcentral.
GGCAGGAGGUUGAGGCAAGAGAAUCGCUUGAACCCGGGAGGCAGAGCUUGCAGUAAGCUGAGAUGGUGCCACUUGAACCCGAGAGGUGGAGGCUGCAGUGAGCCGAGGCUGUGCCACUGCACUGCAGCCUGGGCAACAGAGCAAGACUCUCUCUCAACAGCAACAACAGAGAGAGAGAGAGAGAGAGAGAUAAAGAGAAAGAAGAAGGAAGGAAGGAGGGAGGGAAGGAAGGAGGGAGGGAGGGAAGGAAGGAAGGAGGGAGGAAGGAAGGAAGGAGGGAGGGAAGGAAGGAAGAAGGAAGGAAGGAGGGAGGGAAGGAAGGAAGGAGGAAGGAAGGAAGGAAGGAGGGAAGAAGGAAAGAAGGAAGGAAGGAAGGAGGGAGGGAAGGAAGGAGGGAAGGAAGGAAGGAAGGAAGGAAGGAAGGAAGGAGGGAGGGAAGGAAGGAGGGAAGGAAGGAGUGAGGGAAGAAAGGAAGGAAGGAGGGAGGGAAGGAAGGAGGGAAGGAAGGAAGGAAGGAAGGGAGGAGGGAAGGAAGGAGGGAAGGAAGGAAAGAAGGAAGGAAGGAGGGAGGGAAGAAGGAGGAAGGAAGGAAGGAGGGAAGGAAGGAAGGAAGGAGGGAAGGAAGGAAAGAAGGAGGGAAGGAAGGAAAGAAGGAAGGAAGGAGGGAGGGAAAGAAGGAGGGAAGGAAGGAAGGAGGGAAGGAAGGAAGGAAGGAAGGAAGGAGGGAAGGAAGGAGGGAAGGAAGGAGGGAGGGAAGAAGGAGGGAAGGAAGGAGGGAAGGAAGGAAGGAGGGAGGGAAGGAAGGAGGGAAGGAAGGCAGGAGGAGGGAAGGAAGGAAGGAGGGAAGGAAGGAAAGAAGGAAGGAAGGAGGGAGGGAAGGAAGGAGGGAAGGAAGGAGUGAAGGAAGGAAGGAAGAAGGAAGGAAGGAGGGAGGGAAGGAAGGAAGGAAGGAAGGAGGGAGGGAAGGAAAGAAGGAAGGAAGGAGGGAAGGAAGGAAGGAAAGAAGGAAGGAAGGAGGGAGGGAAGGAAGGAAGGAAGGAAGGAGGGAGGGAAGGAAGGGAGGAGGAGGAGGAAUUUAUUAAAAAGUCUACACCUUAA